This 1478-nucleotide ribosomal RNA is filed under the name uncultured Bordetella sp. Its description in RNAcentral is "partial 16S-23S ribosomal RNA intergenic spacer". It matches the Rfam family "Bacterial small subunit ribosomal RNA". The record is from RNAcentral. Lineage: Bacteria; Pseudomonadati; Pseudomonadota; Betaproteobacteria; Burkholderiales; Alcaligenaceae.
GGUUUGAUCAUAGCUCAGAUUGAACGCUGGCGGGAUGCUUUACAUGCAAGUCGAACGGCAGCACGGACUUCGGUCUGGUGGCGAGUGGCGAACGGGUGAGUAAUGUAUCGGAACGUGCCUAGUAGCGGGGGAUAACUACGCGAAAGCGUAGCUAAUACCGCAUACGCCCUUCGAGGAAAGCGGGGGACCUUCUGAGCCUCGCACUAUUAGAGCGGCCGAUAUCGGAUUAGCUAGUUGGUGGGGUAACGGCUCACCAAAGGCGACGAUCCGUAGCUGGUUUUGAGAGGACGACCAGCCACACUGGGACUGAGACACGGCCCAGACUCCUACAGGAGGCAGCAGUGGGAAUUUUGGACAAUGGGGAAACCCUGAUCCAGCCAUCCCGCGUGUACGAUGAAGGCCUUCGGGUUGUAAAGCACUUUUGGCAGGAAAGAAACGGCACGGGAUAAUACCCCGUGCAACUGACAUUACCUGCAGAAUAAGCACCAGCUAACACGUGCCAGCAGCCGCGGUAAUACGUAGGGUGCAAGCGUUAAUCGGAAUUACUGGGCGUAAAGCGUGCGAGCGGUUCGGAAAGAAGAUGUGAAAUCCCAGAGCUUAACUUUGGAACUGCAUUUUUAACUACCGAGCUAGAGUGUGUCAGAGGAGGUGGAAUUCCGCGUGUAGCAGUGAAAUGCGUAGAUAUGCGGAGGAACACCGAUGGCGAAGGCAGCCUCCUGGGAUAACACUGACGCUCAUGCACAGCGUGGGGAGCAAACAGGAUUAGAUACCCUGGUAGUCCACGCCCUAAACGAUGUCAACUAGCUGUUGGGGCCUUCGGGCCUUGGUAGCGCAGCUAACGCGUGAAGUUGACCGCCUGGGAAGUACAGUCGCAAGAUUAAAAGCUCAAAGGAAUUGACGGGGACCCACACAAGCGGUGGAUGAUGUGGAUUAAUUCGAUGCAACGCGAAAACCUUACCUACCCUUGACAUGUCUGGAAUCCCGAAGAGAUUUGGGAGUGCUCGCAAGAGAACCGGAACACAGGUGCUGCAUGGCUGUCGUCAGCUCGUGUCGUGAGAUGUUGGGACAGGGUCCCGCAACGAGCGCAACCCUUGUCAUUAGUUGCUACGAAAGGGCACUCUAAUGAGACUGCCGGUGACAAACCGGAGGAAGGUGGGGAUGACGUCAAGUCCUCAUGGCCCUUAUGGGUAGGGCUUCACACGUCAUACAAUGGUCGGGACAGAGGGGUCGCCAACCCGCGAGAGGGGCCAAUCCCAAGAAACCCGAUCGUAGUCGGAUCGCAGUCUGCAACUCGACUGCGUGAAGUCGGAAUCGCUAGUAAUCGCGGAUCAGCAUGUCGCGGUGAAUACGUUCCCGGGUCUUGUACACACCGCCCGUCACACCAUGGGAGUGGGUUUUACCAGAAGUAGUUAGCCUAACCGUAAGGAGGCGAUUACCACGGUAGGAUUCAUGACUGGGGUGAAGUCGUAACAAGGUAA